This 652-nucleotide ribosomal RNA is filed under the name uncultured bacterium. Its description in RNAcentral is "bacterial SSU rRNA". It matches the Rfam family "Bacterial small subunit ribosomal RNA", at positions 84 to 728 of the family's 1533-position model. The record is from RNAcentral.
CCUGGUGGCGAGUGGCGAACGGGUGAGUAAUAUAUCGGAACGUGCCCAGUCGUGGGGGAUAACGUAGAGAAAUUUACGCUAAUACCGCAUACGAUCUAAGGAUGAAAGCGGGGGACUUCGCGAGAGGCCUCGCGCGAUUGGAGCGGCUGAUAUCAGAUUAGGUUGUUGGUGAGGUAAAAGCUCACCAAGCCGACGAUCUGUAGCUGGUUUGAGAGAACGACCAGCCACACUGGGACUGAGACACGGCCCAGACUCCUACGGGAGGCAGCAGUGGGGAAUUUUGGACAAUGGGCGAAAGCCUGAUCCAGCAAUGCCGCGUGUGGGAAGAAGGCCUUCGGGUUGUAAACCACUUUUGUACGGAACGAAAAGGUCUGCCCUAAUACGGUGGGCUCAUGACGGUACCGUAAGAAUAAGCACCGGCUAACUACGUGCCAGCAGCCGCGGUAAUACGUAGGGUGCGAGCGUUAAUCGGAAUUACUGGGCGUAAAGCGUGCGCAGGCGGUUAUAUAAGACAGUUGUGAAAUCCCCGGGCUCAACCUGGGAAUUGCAUCUGUGACUGUAUAGCUAGAGUACGGUAGAGGGGGAUGGAAUUCCGCGUGUAGCAGUGAAAUGCGUAGAUAUGCGGAGGAACACCGAUGGCGAAGGCAAUCCC